RNAcentral lists this ribosomal RNA (321 nucleotides) under uncultured eukaryote. Its description in RNAcentral is "partial 18S ribosomal RNA". It matches the Rfam family "Eukaryotic small subunit ribosomal RNA", at positions 1470 to 1796 of the family's 1831-position model. The record is from RNAcentral.
CCCUUAGAUGUUCUGGGCCGCACGCGCGCUACACUGAUGCAUUCAACGAGCCUAUCCUUGACCGACAGGUCCGGGUAAUCUUUGAAUCUGCAUCGUGACGGGGAUAGAUUAUUGCAAUUAUUAAUCUUCAACGAGGAAUGCCUAGUAGGCGCAAGUCAUCAGCUUGCGUCGAUUACGUCCCUGCCCUUUGUACACACCGCCCGUCGCUCCUACCGAUUGGGUGUGCUGGUGAAUUAUUCGGACUGCAACGUGUCCAGUUCUGGAUGCAGUUGCGGAAAGUUUUGUGAACCUUACCACUUAGAGGAAGGAGAAGUCGUAACA